GACGAACGCUGGCGGCGUGCUUAACACAUGCAAGUCGAACGAGGAAGCCUAGCUUGCUUGGUGGUUUAGUGGCGAACGGGUGGGUAAUACGUGAGUAACUCACCUUUAACUCUGGCAUAGGCCUGGAAAACUGGGUCUAUUACCGGAUACGACAAACCUCCGCAUGGGGUGUUGGUGGAAAGCUUUAUGUAGUGGUUAUAGAUGGGCCCACGGCCUAUCUGCUUGUUGGGGAGGUAACGGCCCACCAAGGCGACGACGGGUAGCCGGCAUGAGAGGGUGACCAGCCACACUGGGACUGAGAGACGGACCAGAGUCCUACGGGAGGCAGCAGUGGGGAAUAUUGCACAAUGGGCGCAAGCCUGAUGCAGCGACGCCGCGUGAGGGAUGACGGCCUUCGGGUUGUAAACCUCUGUUAGCAGGGAAGAAGAGAAAUUGACGGUACCUGCAGAGAAAGCGCCGGCUAACUACGUG
RNAcentral lists this ribosomal RNA (471 nucleotides) under uncultured bacterium. Its description in RNAcentral is "partial 16S ribosomal RNA". It matches the Rfam family "Bacterial small subunit ribosomal RNA", at positions 28 to 507 of the family's 1533-position model. The record is from RNAcentral.